RNAcentral lists this long non-coding RNA (1922 nucleotides) under Macaca fascicularis (crab-eating macaque). Its description in RNAcentral is "lncRNA (ENSMFAG00000057916.1)". Lineage: Eukaryota; Metazoa; Chordata; Mammalia; Primates; Cercopithecidae. The record is from RNAcentral.
CCCCUUGCCAAGGGCAGACCAACCCCGAGGGCAUCUGAGCUCCCAGGGCCACACUAAGCUACAUUCCAAGGCACGUGUCUGGUGGCUGGAGGAGGAAAAUGGAGGUUUUCAAACUGAGAACCUGGAGCAGAUGGACGGUCCACACACAGAGCUCCUGGUAGCCUGUGUGCUUCUGGUGUAGGGAAACUCUGCUCUGCCCACCCCACCUAAGGGUCCCUCUCAGCAGCACAGCCCUCCUUGAGGUAUACCCCAUCCCAGCUGCGCUCGCCUGACUUCCUGGGAACAAGGCACUCCCUCUCCUGACCCUCUGCCCAGUGUGAACGAAGUUGGAGCUGCAGGAGUGAAAUAAAGCAGGACUUCCUGGACCCUGAGGAGGGGCUGGUAUAUUACGAGGAAACUGCCUUGCUCCCCAAAACCCUCUGUCUGGUUGUAGUGGCAGAGACUCCUGGUAGCUCUUCCUUUCUCUGGGGUGAAUGCACCGGGCAGGGUGAGAAGCCCGAGUCCCAUCGGCUGCCAUCUCUAGCCCCUCAGAUCUCCUGAGGACCACGGUGGGCAGGGAGAGAGGCAGAGGCAGGGCGACUCCCUCUGGGGGGCCUAUUGGCACAUGGCCCCGUGGAAGUGGGGGCACUGAAGAGAAUCCUGGGGCCUGGCAGGCUUGGGAAACCAAGCACGGUGGCCUGGGGGAGGGGCGGAACCAGUGGGAGAGAAGCUUUCAGACUUUCAGGGAACGUAAAUUUUACCCCCGGCUACUUUCUCUGGGAUUUAUUUCUCGGUGAACUUGAGACUUUGCCUAAUUACGUUUGGGUCUCUUUCAAAGCACAUAAAUUGCAUCCAGUUCUUCUGCCUCCUUCUUAGGAAUAAAUUGUCCCUGUGUGAGGAGGGAUCUGGGGGAGAGAGUGAGACUUUAUUAAUUCGACACAGAACUCUGUUCCCCUGCCCUCCCCUCUGCCCCCCAUUGAAUAAUAAAAUAAUGAAGAUUUGACUUGGACCAGGGUGUAUGGAUAAAUAUAUUGGUGACAUGAAUGGAAAUGGAUUUAUUACAUAAACAGGAGACUUCAUCAAUUUAAACCUGGCCUCCUUUCAAUGGGCAUAAAUUACAUUUUCUUUUCCUACCAGUUGCUUUUUUUUUUUUUUUUUUAAGAAACUGGAUUUAUCGGAAUUGAGAUUCCACUAAUUUAUUUCAUGGAGCGUGUGCUUCCUCUUUUUGCCCACCUCAUUAGAGACAGGUUUCCUUCCAGCUCUCCUCUUUCCCACUCAGGGCAAUGUGGUCCCCUGGGAGGUCAGGAAUGAGGCUGGGGUGGGCUGUCUCAGUUGGGCCCUGAGAGACCCUGAGUCUCUACUCCAUCUAGAGCAAUCCAGUUCUUAGGCAGGGGGCCACGUCAAGAUGUCCAACCCCAUAAGCAGAAGUAGGUCCCUCUCCAGGCCCCCAUGAGGCUGAGAGAUGGACCAAUGCAGGACCUGGCCUCAGCGGGUCCUAGGACAGGGCAGCAGGCAAGUGGCAGGGGAAUUCAGCAAACACAAUUGCAGCAAGAGCCUCAGGUGCUUGGCCAGGAGUUCCAAGUGAGGCGGCAUGGGAAGGCUGAAGGGAGUGCCUGAAGGUCCCAUUAAAGACCAGUGGCAGGCCAGGCGUGGUGGCUCACACCUGUAAUCCCAGCACUUUGGAAGGCCAAGGCUGGCGGAUCACAAGAGGUCAGGAGUUUGAGGCAAGCCUGGCCAAUGUGGUGAAACCCCAUCUCCACUAAAAAUACAAAAAUUAGCCAGGUGUGGUGGUGCACACUUGUAAUCCCAGCUACUCAGGAGGCUGAGGCAGGAGAGUCCCUUGAACCUAGAAGGUGGAGUUUGCAGUGAGCCACAAUGCUCCAUUGCACUCCUCCAGCCUGGGUGACAAGAGUGAAACUCCGUCUCAAAAAAAAAAAAAAAAA